This 503-nucleotide ribosomal RNA is filed under the name uncultured bacterium. RNAcentral describes it as "partial 16S ribosomal RNA". It matches the Rfam family "Bacterial small subunit ribosomal RNA", at positions 30 to 523 of the family's 1533-position model. The record is from RNAcentral.
AUUGAACGCUGGCGGCACGCCUAACACAUGCAAGUCGAGCGGUAGCAUGAAUAGUAGCAAUACUAUUUGAUGACGAGCGGCGGACGGGUGAGGAACACGUAGGGACCUGCCUUAGAGAGGGGACAACCAAGGGAAACUUUGGCUAAUACCGCAUAAUCUCGAGAGAGAAAAGCUGCCCGCAAGGGUGGCGCUUUAAGAGGGGCCUGCGUCCGAUUAGCUAGUUGGUGAGGUAAAGGCUCACCAAGGCGAUGAUCGGUAACUGGUCUGAGAGGACGACCAGUCACACUGGGACUGAGACACGGCCCAGACUCCUACGGGAGGCAGCAGUGGGGAAUCUUGGACAAUGGGGGCAACCCUGAUCCAGCGAUGCCGCGUGGGUGAAGAAGGCCUUCGGGUUGUAAAGCCCUUUAGGCCGGGAAGAAGGUUAGUUGUUUAAGAGAUAGCUAGCUUGACGGUACCAGCAGAAUAAGCACCGGCAAACUCUGUGCCAGCCGCCGCCGUAA